AGGACAUAUUUUCCUACAUGUAUACCAACAUUUUGAUGUGAAGGACUGAGCAGAUACACUCAAAAGAUCCAGUUUUCUCCUUGAGUGCCAAAGACCAAUUUUAGGUCACCCACAGCAAUCCAAAGAAGAAGAAAACUGCAGGUAUUGUAUUUGGUAUUCACUGGCAUGGGUGAGAGGUACAUCUUUUGCAUAUGUGCU
RNAcentral lists this long non-coding RNA (198 nucleotides) under Dromaius novaehollandiae (emu). RNAcentral describes it as "lncRNA (ENSDNVG00000011632.1)". Lineage: Eukaryota; Metazoa; Chordata; Aves; Casuariiformes; Dromaiidae. The record is from RNAcentral.